UUUUUUUUAAUUUUAAAAAGGCUUUUGAAAAGCCUGAGCUUUAAAAUAAAUAGAUAUGGUUGUUUUUAUUUGAUAAAUAAUUCUGAUUUUCUAUUUUCAGGAUUUAUCCUACAGAAAAAAAGAGAAGAAAGGUUGAAUCUGGUGGUCCUUUUUAACCACAUGAUUUCAGAAGCAUUGGCUUUAAGAAUUUUUAAUGAGUGAUCUGGGAGCAAGUUCUGUGUUAGAAGAAAAAAAUACUUCUGUAUACCACAGUUUCAGUUCAUAAGAAU
RNAcentral lists this long non-coding RNA (269 nucleotides) under Apteryx owenii (little spotted kiwi). RNAcentral describes it as "lncRNA (ENSAOWG00000005772.1)". The record is from RNAcentral. Lineage: Eukaryota; Metazoa; Chordata; Aves; Apterygiformes; Apterygidae.